CCGAGUUGUAAUUUGCAGAGGAUGUUUCGGGUACCGCCUCGGUUUAAAUUUCUUGGAACAGAAUGUCAAAGAGGGUGAGAAUCCCGUCUUGGACCGGCGGUAGGGCCCAUGUGAAACUCCUUCGAC
Molecule: ribosomal RNA, 126 nt
Filed under: Exophiala equina
Lineage: Eukaryota; Fungi; Ascomycota; Eurotiomycetes; Chaetothyriales; Herpotrichiellaceae
Description: partial large subunit ribosomal RNA
Source: RNAcentral